This 165-nucleotide ribosomal RNA is filed under the name Neonectria candida. RNAcentral's name for it is "5.8S ribosomal RNA". It matches the Rfam family "5.8S ribosomal RNA". From Rfam's summary of the family: 5.8S ribosomal RNA (5.8S rRNA) is a component of the large subunit of the eukaryotic ribosome. It is transcribed by RNA polymerase I as part of the 45S precursor that also contains 18S and 28S rRNA. The record is from RNAcentral. Lineage: Eukaryota; Fungi; Ascomycota; Sordariomycetes; Hypocreales; Nectriaceae.
AAACUUUCAACAACGGAUCUCUUGGGUUCUGGCAUCGAUGAAGAACGCAGCGAAAUGCGAUAAGUAAUGUGAAUUGCAGAAUUCACGUGAAUCAUCGAAUGCUUUGAACGCACAUUGCGCCCGCCCAGUAUUCUUGGCGGGCAUGCCUGUUCGAAGCGUUCAUUU